UGCUAGAAGACGAGCUUGCGUACCAUUAGCUAGUUGGUAGGGUAAUGGCCUACCAAGGCGACGAUGGUUAGCGGGUCUGAGAGGAUGACCAGCCACACUGGAACUGAGAUACGGUCCAGACUCCUACGGGAGGCAGCAGUGAGGAAUCUUGCGCAAUGGGGGCAACCCUGACGCAGCAACGCCGCGUGGAUGAUGAAGGCCUUCGGGUCGUAAAGCUCUGUCAGAUGGGAAGAAAGUUCCAUCGACGAAUAAUCGAUGGGAUUGACGGUACUGUCAAAGGAAGCACCGGCUAACUCCGUGCCAGCAGCCGCGGUAAUACGGAGGGUGCAAGCGUUGUUCGGAAUUACUGGGCGUAAAGCGCGCGUAGGCGGUUUGUUAAGUCAGAUGUGAAAGCCCAUGGCUCAACCAUGGACGUGCAUUUGAAACUGGCAGACUUGAGUAUUGGAGGGGGUGGUGGAAUUCCCGGUGUAGAGGUGAAAUUCGUAGAUAUCGGGAGGAAUACCGGUGGCGAAGGCGACCACCUGGCCAAAUACUGACGCUGAGACGCGAAAGCGUGGGGAGCAAACAGGAUUAGAUACCCUGGUAGUCCACGCCGUAAACGAUGGGUACUAGGUGUUGCGGGUAUUGACCCCUGCAGUGCUGCAGUUAACGCAAUAAGUAUUCCGCCUGGGGAGUAUGCACGCAAGUGUGAAACUCAAAGGAAUUGACGGGACCCCGCACAAGCGGUGGAUUAUGUUGUUUAAUUCGACGCAACGCGAAGAACCUUACCAGGCCUUGACAUACUCGGCAAAGCUCUAAGCUCUAGAGAUAGAGUGGAGGUUAUCCGGGAUACAGGUGGUGCAUGGUUGUCGUCAGCUCGUGUCGUGAGAUGUUGGGUUAAGUCCCGCAACGAGCGCAACCCUUGUCUUUAGUUACCAUCAUUCAGUUGGGGACUCUAGAGAGACUGCCGGUGAUAAACCGGAGGAAGGUGGGGAUGACGUCAAAUCAUCAUGCCCCUUAUGGCCUGGGCUACAAACGUAAUACAAUGGCGUAUACAAAGGGAUGCGAAAGGGCGACCUGGAGCCAAUCCCAAAAAGCCGGGCCAAGUUCGGAUCGGAGGCUGCAACUCGCCUCCGUGAAGUCGGAAUCGCUAGUAAUCGCAGAUCAGCAUGCUGCGGUGAAUACGUUCCCGGGCCUUGUACACACCGCCCGUCACACCACGGGAGUUGGU
RNAcentral lists this ribosomal RNA (1210 nucleotides) under uncultured bacterium. RNAcentral's name for it is "partial 16S ribosomal RNA". It matches the Rfam family "Bacterial small subunit ribosomal RNA", at positions 216 to 1415 of the family's 1533-position model. The record is from RNAcentral.